This 500-nucleotide ribosomal RNA is filed under the name uncultured bacterium. RNAcentral describes it as "partial 16S ribosomal RNA". It matches the Rfam family "Bacterial small subunit ribosomal RNA", at positions 30 to 523 of the family's 1533-position model. The record is from RNAcentral.
AUUGAACGCUGGCGGAAUGCUUUACACAUGCAAGCCGAACGGCAGCACGGACUUCGGUCUGGUGGCGAGUGGCGAACGGGUGAGUAAUGUAUCGGAACGCGCCCAGUCGUGGGGGAUAACGUAGUGAAAAUUACGCUAAUACCGCAUACGAUCUAUGGAUGAAAGCGGGGGAUCGCAAGACCUCGCGCGAUUGGAGCGGCCGAUAACAGAUUAGGUAGUUGGUGGGGUAAAGGCCCACCAAGCCAACGAUCUGUAGCUGGUCUGAGAGGACGACCAGCCACACUGGAACUGAGACACGGUCCAGACUCCUACGGGAGGCAACAGUGGGGAAUUUUGGACAAUGGGCGAAAGCCUGAUCCAGCCAUUCCGCGUGCAGGAUGAAGGCCCUCGGGUUGUAAACUGCUUUUGUACAGAACGAAAAGGUUUCUACUAAUACUAGGAGCUCAUGACGGUACUGUAAGAAUAAGCACUGGCUAACUACGUGCCAGCCGCCGCCGUAA